RNAcentral lists this long non-coding RNA (1020 nucleotides) under Zea mays. Its description in RNAcentral is "drought responsive lncRNA". Lineage: Eukaryota; Viridiplantae; Streptophyta; Magnoliopsida; Poales; Poaceae. The record is from RNAcentral.
AGCGGAAAUCUUAUUACCAAAUUUUACAGGUUACAAAAAAUUUACAUUAUUUUAUCGGAGUGAUUACAAAAGUAUAAGCUUGAAAUAUAUGCUAGCUCAAGUGACCAUCCUCAAUAAGAAGUAUAGAAGAAGUACUUAGACUUAUAGAAGGCCGAGCCCACCGGCACUUAACACCAUCAUCAGCAGCACAAAACUAUGACCUGAAAAACAACAGGGGAUAAAACCCUGAGUAUGGAAUAACUCAGCAAGACUUACCCGACUAAAGAAAAGACUCUCAAGGAUAUGCUGGAUUUGGGAAUCAAGGAGAGGUUUUAGCAAGAAUCAACUUAGAUACUUUUGCAGAAUUAGCUAACUAAAGUGAGUCCUUACUUUCAAUAUUUUAAUGCCAGAUUAAAUAUUAAUAGACUAUGUUUGCAUCUGGUCUAAUUUCACCAUCUCAUCAAUAAAACUUCAUUUUUAUUCAUGAGGUUCACAUCCUGACUUAGGUUGCAGGGCAGCGAUCAAGUCUCCACUCUCCGGGGAUAUAACGGCGAUCCGAAUCGAUUUACUCAGCUGAGGAUCUCUAACCACACGACAUAUGUUUCUCGUAAACCUUGCAUGUCUACCAUUCCCACGGAUCCUCCACUGCAUGAACAGGUCCGCGCCACCCGAGAGCACACCACCCCUUUUAGGCGGUCCUUUGCUAGGAGGGUACGUGCCACUCUCGCCAUCUCUCCACUCCCAGUGCACGAUUGUCUUUUCAUGUAUGGAAUAGCCGGGUUCAAGCUUACCCUGUCCCAUUUCCAGGGCAUGUGGCUAGUUAAGAUAGUCCUUGAUCAACAGGCCUUCCAUCCUUAGGAUUGUUUGUGUUCCUUAGGAUGAAAAGAGCAUCAAAGGGAACUUUGCAGUAAGAUCCCACCACGCUCUUAAUGAAAAUAUUCUUUCAGGUAGAAGCCAUCUUUCCUCAAGAUAACCCCUGAGCUAGGCAUUAAUGCAAAAGGCAACCUCUAUCCACAAGAUCUAAGCAGGGCUAAGCAUUUU